AAUUGUGACCUACUUUUACAGGAACACUUUACGGUAAUCCGACCUUGGCACUUUGGCAGCAUGUAUGACGCUGACAUUAAAAACGUGACUGGGAGGCAGCUGUCAAGGGCCAAUGUAACUCUGGCAGCGUGUAGCCAGUAGUGACGACAGGCCUACUCCUACUACAACUACCAUUGCUACUGACAUAUCCACAUCCAGUUCCAGUCGGUCAAGUGACAGUGCAAGUGUAAUUGCCAAACACAGAGCUCUUUUUGGAAGUUCUCAUCGAGUAGAGCAGAAUCAAAGUCAAACUCGAAGACGUAGUCAGAGUCAGACUCGAACUCAGGAGGGGCAAUCCAUCUAUUGCUACUCUCAAAUUCGGGCAUACAUACUUCACCAAAUUCACGUGCAAGAAUAAGGCAGAGAUUUCAGCUAAAAAAAUAUACAGUUGACUUCCUUUAUCAGUCGCCACACAUACUUGUGUACCAAACAUCAAAAUGUUGCGCUUCUCGCUAGAGCAUUGAAAGCGACAGGAAUACAUGUCCCCCAGAAUCCAGAACACUUUACAAAAGAAGACCAUGUAAUGGAAAAGGAUACCUGCAAAAGAGACUGCCGUGGGAGUGCGGACUUCUAGGGAGACUGCAAAGCAGGCUCCAUGGGGGACUGCAAAGGAAAUGCUUUUGCAGCUGGGCCGGUCCACAGCGAAAGGUCUGCGGGGCAGGGAAUUCAACAGCUGCGAGGAAUUUACCAGGUAGGUGGAUCUGUUGCUUAGUUAGUUUUGUAGUAAUUUAUUUGUCAGCUUUAUUAUAUUAAAUUUCUAAUGAAGCAAUACAAGAAAAUUCACUGGUACUUUUUUGUGCACAGUAAAUGACUUGUGGUAAUGCUCUUUAUUAUGUACUGGUUCAUCCCUCCCC
Long non-coding RNA from Lingula anatina, 893 nucleotides. Lineage: Eukaryota; Metazoa; Brachiopoda; Lingulata; Lingulida; Lingulidae. The record is from RefSeq and is a predicted model, not a curated record.